Molecule: transfer RNA, 82 nt
Filed under: Echinostoma caproni
Lineage: Eukaryota; Metazoa; Platyhelminthes; Trematoda; Plagiorchiida; Echinostomatidae
Rfam family: tRNA
About the family: Transfer RNA (tRNA) molecules are approximately 80 nucleotides in length. Their secondary structure includes four short double-helical elements and three loops (D, anti-codon, and T loops).
Source: Rfam by way of RNAcentral
GGCCUCGUGGCUCAGCUGGUAGAGCACUCGCGUACAAAGCGUAGGCGGCGUCCAUGCAUGGGUUCGAAUCCCUCCGAGGCUA